RNAcentral lists this non-coding RNA (79 nucleotides) under unclassified sequences. The record is from RNAcentral.
CGAAUGACGUCGCCGGACGUGCAAGCAAUUAAUAACUCUCUUAGGCCAAUGCGAGAGUUAUUAAUUGCUUUUUUUAUUU